This 253-nucleotide ribosomal RNA is filed under the name uncultured bacterium. RNAcentral's name for it is "partial 16S ribosomal RNA". It matches the Rfam family "Bacterial small subunit ribosomal RNA", at positions 524 to 776 of the family's 1533-position model. The record is from RNAcentral.
UACGGAGGGUGCAAGCGUUAUCCGGAUUCACUGGGUUUAAAGGGUGCGCAGGCGGGCACGUACGUCAGUGGUGAAAUCUCCGGGCUUAACCCGGAAACUGCCAUUGAUACUAUUUGUCUUGAAUACUGUGGAGGUCAGCGGAAUAUGUCAUGUAGCGGUGAAAUGCUUAGAUAUGACAUAGAACACCAAUUGCGAAGGCAGCUGGCUACACGAAUAUUGACACUCAGGCACGAAAGCGUGGGGAUCAAACAGG